AUUUGUAGAGAGAGAAAGGGGGAGAAAAGCAAGGGAAAGCUACCAAAACCACCAUCACAAAAACCUAGUCCUAGGGUGUCCUAUAAAGAGAGAAAAAGCGAGAAUUCAUUUAUAUAUAUAUGCGUAAGAUACAGUGAGAGAAGGAUUGGGUGCAGAGGUGAAAGAGAGAGAAAGAGAGAGGGGCAAAGGAAAGCGGUGGAGAGAGCAAAAACCCGGUUGGGAAAAAGGGUUUUUAGAGAGAGGGAACCAGGCAGGAAAAGGGAUUUUAGGAAGAGGAGGGAGCCCGGGUUGAGAAGAGGGAUUUUAGUGAGCGACGAGGAGGGGGCCCAGAUAGAAAAAAAGGGUUUUUGGAGAGAGAAGGAGGCGACCCAGAUUGAAAUUCAGGGGCUUUGGAGAGAAAAAGAGGGUUGCUGAGGUGAAAGGGA
RNAcentral lists this long non-coding RNA (425 nucleotides) under Vitis vinifera (wine grape). Its description in RNAcentral is "long non-coding RNA (VVIN_LNC005297)". The record is from RNAcentral. Lineage: Eukaryota; Viridiplantae; Streptophyta; Magnoliopsida; Vitales; Vitaceae.